This 456-nucleotide long non-coding RNA is filed under the name Spirodela polyrhiza (greater duckweed). RNAcentral's name for it is "long non-coding RNA (SPOL_LNC001511)". Lineage: Eukaryota; Viridiplantae; Streptophyta; Magnoliopsida; Alismatales; Araceae. The record is from RNAcentral.
UAGGGCUGGAAUGGAGUGGAUUUGACAUCGGCGGUCUCGAAGCGGGUGCCGAUGACGUCACCAGCAAGGUUCUUGGCCAGGUUCUGGUCCAGCGAGUCGAGGUCGAACUGCAGGUACUCGGCAGGCUUCCCCAGGCCGAAGGGGUCGAAGCCGUAGUCGCCGACCAGAGAUCCGUCGAGCCAGGGAGGGGACACGGCUCCCGGGUACCACAGCGGGCGGUCCGAGUUCACGGGCGACUUGCUGGGCUUCUUGGGCUUCGCCGCCUUCUUGCCGCCGAAGCCGAAGCGGGCGAGGAAGCGGCUGGAGGCGGAGACACCGGAAGUGGAGCUGACGUCGGGCAAGCGGGCGCCCAGGAACGUGGAUGCCGUCGCCGCGGUCGUGGUCGCCAUUUGUGACUGCAGGCAGAUGAGACCCCCCCCCUACUUCUCCCUCCCACCGGCUGCCGCUACGGCUGCU